Tympanuchus pallidicinctus (lesser prairie-chicken) is the source of this 1382-nucleotide long non-coding RNA. RefSeq lists it as uncharacterized. The transcript has 2 exons. NCBI's taxonomy places the organism in Eukaryota, Metazoa, Chordata, Aves, Galliformes, Phasianidae. The record is from RefSeq and is a predicted model, not a curated record.
UAAAAUCCAUUUCUUCUUCUUCUUCUUCUUCUUUAUUUUUAUUUUUUUCCUUUCCUUCUCCUUAUCCCCGGCUCACUGAGCCAUUAGGGCACAGUGCGGGUAGCAUCAAUGUGUGGCCGCAGCAAAAGCUCGCUCCUCACCGAGUCCCGCGUUAUUAUUCUCAAAGCAUCCACCAUGCUCCCUGUCAGCUGACAAAGCCGCGGCACAGAGCUGCGAGCCCGUCCCCUCCUUCCCCGACCCUCGUCCCCCUCAAAUCCUCCCGUUUUCCCGGUGAGGAAUGACAUAUACAGAAAAUGCGGGGACAGCAGCGCUGGGACAGAGCAGGGGGAAUCGGAGUGCUCCCCGCUCCAGCCGGCCCUGCCCGGGGCAUGCGGUGGGCACGGGCAGCCCUCGGAGAGCGUGGCAAAGACGGGAGAAGCAGCGCUGCGGAGCUUUAAUUGGAAAAUUAUUUACUGGAGAAAGGAAAUUUCCAACAUCUGUCUCUGGGCAGUAAAACUGCACCGAAAUUAAGAAGUGUUUAUGCGUCGUCAUGAGAAGUAAUAACGUGGCACAGCGCGCUCCAUUAUAAUCGGGGAUAAAUUACGGCGGGAUUCUAAAACAAAAAAAAAUCCUCUCUAGUGCGAAGCACAUCGCGAUCCCUCUCGGCACAUGAGCCAUAACAGGGCAGUGCUCCCAGGUCGCGCGUAACUUCUGAGCACCGUUUAAUCGCUACCUUUGACUUCCCGGAAAAGCUCGGGACGCACAGUGAGGCACCCCCGGUUCUCCCACGUAAAAAAUAAAUGCAGUGAAUGCCGCCUGGAGGAUUAUUUUUAAAGCGUGUGAGAAGAUUGCAGUGACGGAAACCUCGCAAUCUCAGCUCGCUCGCUAUUUCCUCGACUGUAAUAUAUAGACAUAUAUAUACACAUUUGAAUACGUUUUGCAGGCUGCUGUGUCCGAGGUUGUUUGCAUGCGACAGAAUGAGACAUUUCGGGGCUAUUUCCGAGCAGCGCCGUGCCGGCGUUGGGCGAAUACGCGGGGGGUGGGCGCGCACAUAAGGCGGUGGGGGCCAAUUCGGAUCUGCUUCGACGAUUUGUUUGGCGGGAGGCAUUUUGACGUUGUUUUUAUUAGUAUUUGUGAGUUGGCAGAUAAAAAGCUGCUAGCAAAAUAAAAGAAAAGGCGGUGGUCACAACACACCCCCGCAAAGCUAACGGCAUCGCAGCGCAUAUUUUGCAGGCACGCGGAACCCGAAAUACACGCGCCCAACCCCGCCGUUCGCUUCGACGUUAUCAAUAUUAGAGUCUAGACAUCGGCUAUGUUUGCCAUUUCUUUCUCUUCGCGUCUUGGUAUGUUGUCACCAGAGGAGCAAUUUAUUGGUCUAAUGUCAUCUACUUCAGCUUCUUUGA